RNAcentral lists this unclassified non-coding RNA (260 nucleotides) under Hevea brasiliensis (rubber tree). Lineage: Eukaryota; Viridiplantae; Streptophyta; Magnoliopsida; Malpighiales; Euphorbiaceae. The record is from RNAcentral.
AAGAGUUCAAGAAGAAGAGAAGUAAAUUAAAGUUUUAUUUGAGUGACUCGCAAGGGUGAGAAAAAUAAUCAGUAAUUGUAAUUAUUUUUCCUGAAUUUAUUAGUGGAAUAAGCUUACACAAAAAACACGUUUUCUUUAAUGUGUGUGGGUGUUCACAACAGAAAAGUACUUGCAAUGGAUCAUUCACAUAUUACCCACGUCAAAAUCUGAUACAACCAAAGAUGUAACGAAGGAAAUUUCUUGAGAAAGUGACAGAAAAG